GUCUAUGGCCAUACCACCCUGAACACACCCGAACUUGUCUGACUGUGGACGCCAAGCAGGGUCAGGCCUGGUUAGUACUUGGAUGGUAGAGAGCAGAAGUGAUGGGCA
RNAcentral lists this ribosomal RNA (108 nucleotides) under Fukomys damarensis (Damara mole-rat). Lineage: Eukaryota; Metazoa; Chordata; Mammalia; Rodentia; Bathyergidae. The record is from RNAcentral.